AGGGGCACUAGCUACGAUAUAUAUAAAAAAAUAAAGUAUGAUUUUUUUUAGAUCAAUCAUUAAUCAAAUUGGAAUAAUGAAAUAAUAAUUGGCUUUUAGGAAUCAAUUUCCUUUAAUUUCGUUGAAAUAAGCGAUUAAACAUAAUUUUUGACUGAUUCACUUGCAAGUGAAAACGUCAUCAUCAUUCUAACCGGUAUUCAUGUGAACUUCACGUUAACCCCUAGCUAGAGAUUGACAACGCAUGCAUUGUACGUGUACUGGUUAUUUAAAGAAAAAGAAUGUAAACAAUGAAAGUGAAACUACGGUAAAUCAUUUGAUUACUAAUUCGAUGCACAUAAAAUCAUUCUUAUAUGGUUAAAAACAAUGAGAAACAUCUAUUUUUAAUCUAUAAAAUAAAAUCAAACAGACCUAUAAAAAUGCAAUUGCACGUGUUGGUUUAAUCUAUUCGUAUCUUUAUUUUUGUUUACAUCGCUUAUAUGGUCAUCUGAGGUCAAAUCGAUAGUUAAUUAGAUGGCGUCUGGACUAAAAUACACACGAAACGAACCUAUAUAUUAUCUACCCCAUGCUCUGUAAACUGUUUAUUUUAGACUUUUGAUAGUUUGGAUAAAUGUUUUACAUUGUUAUAAACCAAAUAUGAGAAUUUGAGUCAAAUCGGUUACAAUGAAUUUGACAGCUAGUGCCCCUUUAACAUGUAAGUUUAGCAAAUAUUCAAAGUCAAUGAACCAUGACUGAAGGUACAUGACUACAAUCUCCAUGGAAAUGAGAU
Molecule: long non-coding RNA, 766 nt
Filed under: Mytilus galloprovincialis (Mediterranean mussel)
Lineage: Eukaryota; Metazoa; Mollusca; Bivalvia; Mytilida; Mytilidae
Source: RNAcentral